This 220-nucleotide ribosomal RNA is filed under the name uncultured bacterium. Its description in RNAcentral is "partial 16S ribosomal RNA". It matches the Rfam family "Bacterial small subunit ribosomal RNA", at positions 57 to 305 of the family's 1533-position model. The record is from RNAcentral.
GCAAGUCGAGCGCUACCUUCGGGUGGAGCGGCGGACGGGUUAGUAACGCGUGGGAACGUACCUUUCGGUAAGGAAUAGCCACUGGAAACGGUGAGUAAUACCUUAUACGCCCUAUGGGGGAAAGAUUUAUCGCCGAGGGAUCGGCCCGCGUUAGAUUAGGUAGUUGGUGGGGUAAUGGCCUACCAAGCCUACGAUCUAUAGCUGGUUUGAGAGGAUGAUC